CCUACGGGAGGCAGCAGUGGGGAAUAUUGCGCAAUGGGCGAAAGCCUGACGCAGCGACGCCGCGUGAGGGAUGAAGGCCUUCGGGUUGUAAACCUCUUUCAGCAGGGACGAAGCGCAAGUGACGGUACCUGCAGAAGAAGCACCGGCUAACUACGUGCCAGCAGCCGCGGUAAUACGUAGGGUGCAAGCGUUGUCCGGAUUUAUUGGGCGUAAAGAGCUCGUAGGCGGUCUGUCGCGUCGGAUGUGAAAACCCAGGGCUCAACCCUGGGCCUGCAUUCGAUACGGGCAGACUUGAGUAUUGCAGGGGAGACUGGAAUUCCUGGUGUAGCGGUGAAAUGCGCAGAUAUCAGGAGGAACACCGGUGGCGAAGGCGGGUCUCUGGGCAAUAACUGACGCUGAGGAGCGAAAGCGUGGGGAGCGAACAGGGUUAGAUACCCUGGUAGUCCACGCCGUAAACGGUGGGCGCUAGGUGUAGGGAACCUUCCACGUUCUCUGUGCCGCNGCUACGCAUAAGUCGCCCGCCGUCGGGAGGUACGGCCGGCCGAGGACGUAAACGUAACUAAAGUAGAAGUUAGUACGGCGUUGAACGUUGCGACGGACGACGACGAGGGAGGAGG
RNAcentral lists this ribosomal RNA (617 nucleotides) under uncultured bacterium. RNAcentral's name for it is "bacterial SSU rRNA". The stretch from base 1 to 523 matches the Rfam family "Bacterial small subunit ribosomal RNA", at positions 338 to 873 of the family's 1533-position model. The record is from RNAcentral.